AACGCUGGCGGCGUGCCUAAUACAUGCAAGUCGAGCGAAUCGAUGGGAGCUUGCUCCCUGAGAUUAGCGGCGGACGGGUGAGUAACACGUGGGCAACCUGCCUAUAAGACUGGGAUAACUUCGGGAAACCGGAGCUAAUACCGGAUACGUUCUUUUCUCGCAUGAGAGAAGAUGGAAAGACGGUUUUGCUGUCACUUAUAGAUGGGCCCGCGGCGCAUUAGCUAGUUGGUGAGGUAAUGGCUCACCAAGGCGACGAUGCGUAGCCGACCUGAGAGGGUGAUCGGCCACACUGGGACUGAGACACGGCCCAGACUCCUACGGGAGGCAGCAGUAGGGAAUCUUNCGCAAUGGACGAAAGUCUGACGGAGCAACGCCGCGUGAACGAAGAAGGCCUUCGGGUCGUAAAGUUCUGUCGUUAGGGAAGAACAAGUACCAGAGUAACUGCUGGUACCUUGACNGUACCUAACCAGAAAGCCACGGCUAACUACGUGCCAKCAGCCGCGGUAAUACGUANGUGGCAAGCGUUGACCGGAAUUAUUGGGCGUAAAGCGCGCGCAGGNGGUUCCUUAAGUCUGAUGUGAAAGCCCACGG
This 591-nucleotide ribosomal RNA is filed under the name Bacillus sp. YC02. RNAcentral's name for it is "bacterial SSU rRNA". It matches the Rfam family "Bacterial small subunit ribosomal RNA", at positions 32 to 607 of the family's 1533-position model. Lineage: Bacteria; Bacillati; Bacillota; Bacilli; Caryophanales; Bacillaceae. The record is from RNAcentral.